Molecule: non-coding RNA, 91 nt
Organism: Acanthosepion pharaonis
Lineage: Eukaryota; Metazoa; Mollusca; Cephalopoda; Sepiida; Sepiidae
Source: the annotation of a GenBank genome assembly
AAGCCAGUUCCCAUAUGAUCACUCAAGUUAAGCAACAUUGAGCCUGAUCAGUACCUAGAUGGGUGACUGCUUUGGAAUACCAAGUGAUGUU